UGUACCUACGGGAGGCAGCAGUGAGGAAUAUUGGUCAAUGGCCGGAAGGCUGAACCAGCCAAGCCGCGUGAAGGACGAAGGUGCCAAGCAUUGUAAACUUCUUUUGUCAAGGGACAAAAUCAGGCUCGAGAGCCUGACCGAGGGUACUUGAAGAAAAAGCAUCGGCUAACUCCGUGCCAGCAGCCGCGGUAAUACGGAGGAUGCGAGCGUUAUCCGGAUUUAUUGGGUUUAAAGGGAGCGUAGAUGGGUUGUUAAGUCAGUUGUGAAAGUUUGCGGCUCAACCGUAAAAUUGCAAUUGAUACUGG
RNAcentral lists this ribosomal RNA (305 nucleotides) under uncultured bacterium. RNAcentral describes it as "bacterial SSU rRNA". It matches the Rfam family "Bacterial small subunit ribosomal RNA", at positions 334 to 636 of the family's 1533-position model. The record is from RNAcentral.